Molecule: ribosomal RNA, 450 nt
Filed under: uncultured bacterium
Lineage: Bacteria
Description: partial 16S ribosomal RNA
Rfam family: Bacterial small subunit ribosomal RNA
Source: RNAcentral
CCUACGGGUGGCAGCAGUAAGGGAUAUUGGUCAAUGGAGGAAACUCUGAACCAGCCAUCCCGCGUGAAGGAUGAAGGGGCUCUGCCUUGUAAACUUCUUUUGUCUGGGGCGAAAAAGCUCGAUUUAUCGAGAACUGACGGUACCAGAAGAAUAAGCACCGGCUAACUCCGUGCCAGCAGCCGCGGUAGUACGGAGGGUGCAAGCGUUAUCCGGAAUCACUGGGUUUAAGGGGUGCUUGUACGUCAGUGGAGAAAGGCUGGGGCUUAACCAUGGAAUUGCCAUUGAUACUGCAGAGCUGGAAUGAGGUUGAGGUUGGCGGAAUGUGACAUGUAGCGGUGAAAUGCUUAGAUAUGUCAUGGAACACUGAUUGCGAAGGCAGCUGACUGGACCUAUAUUGACGCUGAGGCACGAAAGCGUGGGGAGCGAACAGGAUUAGAUACCCUAGUAGUC